This 71-nucleotide transfer RNA is filed under the name Ictidomys tridecemlineatus (thirteen-lined ground squirrel). Its description in RNAcentral is "Spermophilus tridecemlineatus (thirteen-lined ground squirrel) tRNA". It matches the Rfam family "tRNA". Rfam says of the family: Transfer RNA (tRNA) molecules are approximately 80 nucleotides in length. The record is from Rfam by way of RNAcentral. Lineage: Eukaryota; Metazoa; Chordata; Mammalia; Rodentia; Sciuridae. RNAcentral also lists the same sequence under 1 other name.
GGGGUUGUGGCUCAGAGGUAGAGUGCUCACCUAGCAUGCGUGAGGCACUGGGUUCAAUUCUCAGCACCCCG